GAUCAUGGCUCAGAUUGAACGCUGGCGGCAGGCCUAACACAUGCAAGUCGAACGGUAGCACAGGAGAGCUUGCUCUCUGGGUGACGAGCGGCGAACGGGUGAGGAACACGUGAAGAAUCUGCCCUCCACUUUGGGAUAACACAGGGAAACCUGUGCUAAUACCGAAUAUUGAAACAUAAGUGGCAUCACUGAGUUUUGAAAGAAUUUCGGUGGAGGAUGACUUCGCGGCCUAUCAGCUAGUUGGUGAGGUAAUGGCUCACCAAGGCAACGACGGGUAGCCGGCCUGAGAGGGCGACCGGCCACACUGGGACUGAGACACGGCCCAGACUCCUACGGGAGGCAGCAGUGGGGAAUAUUGGGCAAUGGAGGAAACUCUGACCCAGCGACGCCGCGUGCGGGAUGAAGGCCUUCGGGUUGUAAACCGCUUUCAGUAGGGAAGAAGCGAAAGUGACGGUACCUACAAAAGAAGCACCGGCUAACUAUGUG
This 486-nucleotide ribosomal RNA is filed under the name uncultured bacterium. Its description in RNAcentral is "bacterial SSU rRNA". It matches the Rfam family "Bacterial small subunit ribosomal RNA", at positions 15 to 507 of the family's 1533-position model. The record is from RNAcentral.